GACAGAGGUCCCAAGCGUUAGGCGGAAUCACUGGGCUUAAAGCGUGUGUAGGCGGAUCCGUAAGUACCUUGUGAAAUCCCACGGCUCAACCGUGGAACUGCUGGGUAUACUGCGGGUCUUGAGCCACCUAGGGGCGAGCGGAACAAGUGGUGGAGCGGUGAAAUGCGUAGAUAUCACUUGGAACGCCAAUGGUGAAAACAGCUCGCUGGGGUGUGCUGACGCUGAGACACGAAAGCCAGGGGAGCAAACGGG
RNAcentral lists this ribosomal RNA (252 nucleotides) under uncultured bacterium. RNAcentral describes it as "partial 16S ribosomal RNA". It matches the Rfam family "Bacterial small subunit ribosomal RNA", at positions 524 to 776 of the family's 1533-position model. The record is from RNAcentral.